Long non-coding RNA from Lynx canadensis (Canada lynx), 197 nucleotides. RefSeq lists it as uncharacterized. The record is from RefSeq and is a predicted model, not a curated record. NCBI's taxonomy places the organism in Eukaryota, Metazoa, Chordata, Mammalia, Carnivora, Felidae. The transcript is spliced from 3 exons.
UGCCAACAAUGAAUGAGAGGCCCUGUUGCUCCACACCCCCGUUAGCAUUCGUUGCUAUUAGGGUUUGGAUUUUUGCCAGUCUAAAAGAGACAAGAUUGAACCCCUCAGCUUGAGAUCAGAUGAGAGGCUAGUAUGAGAACAGAGCCCAGCCUCAAGAGAGAGAGACAGAGCGUGAGCAGGGAAGGGACAGAAAGAGA